Molecule: ribosomal RNA, 530 nt
Filed under: uncultured bacterium
Lineage: Bacteria
Description: bacterial SSU rRNA
Rfam family: Bacterial small subunit ribosomal RNA
Source: RNAcentral
UGGGAAUAUUGCACAAUGGGCGGAAGCCUGAUGCAGCAACGCCGCGUGCGGGAUGACGGCCUUCGGGUUGUAAACCGCUUUCGCCUGUGACGAAGCGUGAGUGACGGUAAUGGGUAAAGAAGCACCGGCUAACUACGUGCCAGCAGCCGCGGUGAUACGUAGGGUGCGAGCGUUGUCCGGAUUUAUUGGACGUAAAGGGCUCGUAGGUGGUUGAUCGCGUCGGAAGUGUAAUCUUGGGGCUUAACCCUGAGCGUGCUUUCGAUACGGGUUGACUUGAGGAAGGUAGGGGAGAAUGGAAUUCCUGGUGGAGCGGUGGAAUGCGCAGAUAUCAGGAGGAACACCAGUGGCGAAGGCGGUUCUCUGGGCCUUUCCUGACGCUGAGGAGCGAAAGCGUGGGGAGCGAACAGGCUUAGAUACCCUGGUAGUCCACGCUGUAAACGGUGGGUACUAGGUGUGGGGUCCAUUCCACGGGUUCCGUGCCGUAGCUAACGCUUUAAGUACCCCGCCUGGGGAGUACGGCCGCAAGGCUA